GCUGAAUGUGGGGAUAAUUUAUUUCCGUGUUGUAGCUAACGCGUUAAGCCCUCCGCCUGGGGACUACGGUCGCAAGACUAAAACUCAAAGGAAUUGACGGGGACCCGCACAAGCGGUGGAGCAUGUGGUUUAAUUCGAUGCAACGCGAAAAACCUUACCACUCCUUGACAUGGAGAUUAGAUCCUUCUUAACAGAAGGGCGCAGUUCGGCUGGAUCUCGCACAGGUGCUGCAUGGCUGUCGUCAGCUCGUGUCGUGAGAUGUUGGGUUAAGUCCCGCAACGAGCGUAACCCUCAUCCUUAGUUGCCAGCGGGUUAAGCCGGGCACUUUAAGGAAACUGCCAGUGGUAAACUGGAGGAAGGUGGGGAUGAUGUCAAGUCAGCACGGCCCUUAUGGGGUGGGCUACACACGUGCUACAAUGGUGACUACAAUAGGUUGCAAUGUCGCAAGGCUGAGCUAAUCCGUAAAAGUCAUCUCAGUUCGGAUUGUCCUCUGCAACUCGAGGGCAUGAAGUCGGAAUCGCUAGUAAUCGUGGAUCAGCAUGCCACGGUGAAUACGUUCUCGGGUCUUGUACACACUGCCCGUCACGCCAUGGGAAUUGGCUUAACUCGAAGCUGGUGCGCUAACCGAAAGGAAGCAGCCAU
This 642-nucleotide ribosomal RNA is filed under the name uncultured Anaplasma sp. Its description in RNAcentral is "bacterial SSU rRNA". It matches the Rfam family "Bacterial small subunit ribosomal RNA", at positions 815 to 1456 of the family's 1533-position model. Lineage: Bacteria; Pseudomonadati; Pseudomonadota; Alphaproteobacteria; Rickettsiales; Anaplasmataceae. The record is from RNAcentral.